RNAcentral lists this ribosomal RNA (60 nucleotides) under uncultured bacterium. Its description in RNAcentral is "partial 16S ribosomal RNA". The record is from RNAcentral.
UACACUUGACAUCAUCAGAACUUGUUAGAGAUAACUCGGUGCCUUCGGGAACUGAUAGAC